UACGGGGGGGGCAAGCGUUGUUCGGAAUUACUGGGCGUAAAGGGCGCGUAGGCGGCGUGGUAAGUCACUUGUGAAAUCUCUGAGCUUAACUCAGAACGGCCAAGUGAUACUGCUGUGCUAGAGUGCAGAAGGGGCAAUCGGAAUUCUUGGUGUAGCGGUGAAAUGCGUAGAUAUCAAGAGGAACACCUGAGGUGAAGACGGGUUGCUGGGCUGACACUGACGCUGAGGCGCGAAAGCCAGGGGAGCAAACGGG
RNAcentral lists this ribosomal RNA (253 nucleotides) under uncultured bacterium. RNAcentral's name for it is "partial 16S ribosomal RNA". It matches the Rfam family "Bacterial small subunit ribosomal RNA", at positions 524 to 776 of the family's 1533-position model. The record is from RNAcentral.